Molecule: ribosomal RNA, 229 nt
Filed under: uncultured bacterium
Lineage: Bacteria
Description: partial 16S ribosomal RNA
Rfam family: Bacterial small subunit ribosomal RNA
Source: RNAcentral
UACGUAGGCGGUAUUGUAUGUCGGAUGUGAAAUCCCGGGGCUCAACCCCGGAACUGCGUCCGAAACUGCAAAACUAGAGUGCAGGAGGGGAGAGGUGAAUUCAUGGAGUAGCGGUGAAAUGCGUUGAUAUCAUGAAGAACACCGGCGGCGAAGGCGCCUCUCUGGAAUGCAACUGACGCUGAGGUACGAAAGCAUGGGGAGCAAACAGGAUUAGAUACCCUGGUAGUCC